ACGGAGGAUGCGAGCGUUAUCCGGAUUUAUUGGGUUUAAAGGGUGCGUAGGUGGACUGUUUAGUCAGUGGUGAAAUGCUGAUGCUCAACGUUAGCAUUGCCGUUGAAACUGACAGUCUUGAGAGUGAUUGAGGCAGGCGGAAUGUGUGGUGUGGGGGAGAAAUCAAAAGAACCCACGCAGACCCCCAAUGGCGAAGGUAUCUUGCAAAGCCACAACUGACACUGAAGCACGAAAGCGUGGGGAUCAAACAG
RNAcentral lists this ribosomal RNA (251 nucleotides) under uncultured prokaryote. RNAcentral's name for it is "partial 16S rRNA". It matches the Rfam family "Bacterial small subunit ribosomal RNA", at positions 525 to 775 of the family's 1533-position model. The record is from RNAcentral.